RNAcentral lists this ribosomal RNA (290 nucleotides) under uncultured Bacteroides sp. RNAcentral describes it as "partial 16S ribosomal RNA". It matches the Rfam family "Bacterial small subunit ribosomal RNA", at positions 56 to 339 of the family's 1533-position model. The record is from RNAcentral. Lineage: Bacteria; Pseudomonadati; Bacteroidota; Bacteroidia; Bacteroidales; Bacteroidaceae.
UGCAAGUCGAGGGGCAGCAUGAACUUAGCUUGCUAAGUUUGAUGGCGACCGGCGCACGGGUGAGUAACACGUAUCCAACCUGCCGAUGACUCGGGGAUAGCCUUUCGAAAGAAAGAUUAAUACCGGAUGGUAUAGUUUUCCCGCAUGGGAUGAUUAUUAAAGAAUUUCGGUUGUCGAUGGGGAUGCGUUCCAUUAGGUUGUUGGCGGGGUAACGGCCCACCAAGCCUUCGAUGGAUAGGGGUUCUGAGAGGAAGGUCCCCACAUUGGAACUGAGACACGGUCCAAACUCC